RNAcentral lists this long non-coding RNA (221 nucleotides) under Sus scrofa (pig). Its description in RNAcentral is "lncRNA (ENSSSCG00015052339.1)". The record is from RNAcentral. Lineage: Eukaryota; Metazoa; Chordata; Mammalia; Artiodactyla; Suidae.
GAGCACAAACAUCGGAGGCUCAGAGGAGCUGGUGUCCACAGGGGACAGGAAGCCGGUGCUGGCUAGGGGCGGGGGCGUCAGGCUGUUUAGAAAUGUCCCAUCAGACCUGAAGCCUGUGGGUCCAGAAGACACAUUUGAUCGGAUCCAACCUUUGGAAGAUCUGCUUGGAAAUUUCCCACUUCGUGUCCUGAGUCCAGGAACCCAGCAGUGGAAUUUUGUAG